Long non-coding RNA from Myodes glareolus (Bank vole), 3124 nucleotides. RefSeq lists it as uncharacterized. NCBI's taxonomy places the organism in Eukaryota, Metazoa, Chordata, Mammalia, Rodentia, Cricetidae. The record is from RefSeq and is a predicted model, not a curated record.
GUGGGGAAAGGGAGACGCUUACUCCCCAUUGCGAAGACAAUGUCUGGGCAGUGUGGCCUGGGAGGUCAAACACGGAAGGGAUUAAGAGAAGCACCUUUUGGCCGGAACCACCAGUGGGCCCAGGUGUUACAAAUUCACCCCAAGUCAGCUGUCACUGAUUCUAGGAGCCCCUACCCGAGGCUCUGUUGCUGGGCUCUUCACCUCAAACCCCUCCAUCCUCUCCCCAGGCUUGGAACAGGUGGCUCUGUCACCAUAGCCCAUGUUGAAGAGGAAGUGUGGGGCUGCAGGACUCAACUUAAAGUGCCCUGAGUUUUAAGGAAAGAGACAGCGAGGCUCUCUGCCUCAGGCCAGGAGAAGGAAGGCAGCCUCCAUCUCUGAACUACGGACAGCUGUUCCCUGGCGCUUAGUUCUGGCUUGCUCUUGCUCUUCUGACUGGAUGCCGGCCAGGGUUUGGAGAACUACAACUAAGUUUUAGACUUCGGAAGGGAGUGAGCGGGUUCCUCCCAGCCCUCCCUGUCGACCUAGGUUCUGAGGCGCUGGAGGGUGUGAGAAGAGUCUCCAGGAAAGUCAAAUGCAGGGUGGCCAGCGAAGCCAACCCUCACAGGUGAAAAGUCCUGACUGGAGAGAGGAAGAGGCUGGACGACCGCUCAGGCUGCUGGAAACGGGACUUUCUGGCCUGAGGAGGCCAGCCAAGAAUGUGUCCGGUGCAAAUGUAUGGAAGUCACGUUGGCUCUUGUACCCUGUUCUUCUGAUGUGCCGUCUUCCUGAACUUCUCCCCAGGUUCGUUGGUAUAACAGCGUUGGGGACUUUAUUUAUUUAUUAGAAUGCUUUGGACUUCAGAUGUAAAAGAUGAUGUCAUGUGUACGGACGAAUAAUUUUACUAUUUUGCUUCUUCCUUUCCAAUCUCGAUGCCACUUACUGCAUCUUCUUACCUGAUUCCUGGCGAGAAUCCCAGGGGAGAUGAACGGAUAUCCUUGUACAGAGCCCGCGUCCUCACCCUGGACUUUUACACAGAAAUGGUAACAGUCACUUCUCAGGGCGUCAGAGAGACCAAGGCCAGAGUGCAGAUCGACUGUCUCAGCAAGGACUUUCACACCUGUGAGGCUGAACUGCCCAGGAUCACCCAGUCCCCGGAGGUGGCUCCCAACACUCUUGAAACCUUCCUAAUACUUCUGAAGAAUCGCACAGUGAUGAAGUACAGACACGGAACAUUUGGUAAGCGUUUCUUCAAGGCAAGAGUCCCACUUGCACCCUUCCCUUCGGUGCCAGCUCGAGCACAGAACCAGACACAGUCCUCAGCAUGAAUCCUCCAAGGCAGGCCACAAGCAGCAGCAGGUAAGAAGCCAGGCUGUGGGGGCUUGUGGGCCAGGCAAGAUGUUUUACUCCAUCUGGUCACAACAGGUUUAAUGUACUCUGGCAAGAGCAGGGGCUCUGUCUAAGGGCUUUCAAACAUUGGAAGACACCUUCAGUUCCUUUAGAUCACCACAGCUUAUCUGAAAGGAGCUUUUAGACACAACCAAUUUCUUCCAAAUUCUGAUAGUUCUUUGACUCAAUUCUUUCUUGUACAUUUGUGAUCUAUAACUAAGACACUCAAAAUAACCUUCAGCUUGUGGUAACACAAGUACGGAAGGAACUAUACGCUCUAUUCCCACUGGAAACAUACCACAAGUGGGCAUGGGGCGAAACUAGGCUUUUCUAAGAGCUAAGGUCUACGGAACAACAAAAAUAAUCAUCUCCAAUGUAAAUUUUACUAUUUUAUUUGUGAAAAAACUACAAGCAGAAUUCAUAAAUAGACAUUUCUAUUUAAAGCAGGAAAAUGAUAAAGUGGCUUCUAAUAACAUAGUCGUGCACAUGCCAAUAACAGGAAUAUAUUAACAUCUUUUAUUUGCUAGACAAAGAGCAGUGUCCAAUAUAAAUUUCCCCCAAACAUUUAAGACCUGUGAAUUUCUGACCAGUUCACAAAACCACUGACACUUUAGCAUGAAGAGAAAACAAACCUAACAGACUGUCAGCUCUAAGACGGACGGAGCAGAAACUUCCAAAGCAUUAUACAAGCCAUCUUUCUGGGCAAAUGGAAAAUAGAGCUCGUAUAAGACAUUAACAAAAGUUCACAAGGGAAGAUUAUGUUCUGACAUACUUAACAAGCAUUCGCUAUCUGUCUCCAACAAACAAAGCUAAGGAAAUAAUGUAACCAUCUUUACACAGUAAAUUAAGGUUACAAGUCAUACACAAGAACAGAACUGCUUGCGCGUUAGAAACUGUUCAGCUCCAUUGUCACACUCUAAAUGUUGGCUCUUAACCAUUUUCGGUAACAUACAAGCAAAGAUUAUUAUAUAUUCAGCAAUUAAUAAUUUCUCAAUAAUUUAAGAUACGGUAGCUUAAAAAUGUAGACUGAGAAUGAUCUUGAUAAGGCAGGCGAGACAUCUCAGUGGAGCUAAACUCACAGAAGCUUCUGCCAAUGUUCCGAAAUACCCAGAUCCAGAUCCAAACUGAAAGGUUUUGAUUAAAAUAUUUUCGUGGUUAUCAAGAUGUCUUUCUUUUCCCUCCCAAUUGCAUGCCUCGGGCAGAGCAAGUCAGGUCAGCUCUGUGCGUGUACACACGAGUGUGAAAGAUCAUGUACUAAACAUACGGGAAACUUGCAAGCCUUAACACUGUGCUUUUUGUUUUAAUAUGCUUUCUGUGCCACUGAAUACCAAGUAUUUCUGGUCCUCUUAAUGUCUCUUUGUAAGCUACACUAGUGUUUUUACCUACUGAGUACUAUAGUAGGGCAAACUGUAAAUGCAGGAAGCUAGUAAGAAUUCCAUUUCCAGAAUGCAUGCCUGAGGGAUGUCAUCGUGUAGCACCUACCACCUCUCCACCCCAACAGAGCCUGUGACAGCAGCGACAGGGGGCCAGGGACAGCAGACUGCUUGGACUCCGCCACUGUCGGCUGCAGUUUCUACCUCAUGGCAAGUUCACUCCACUCGUUCUGAAGCCUUCCCUCCCUUCACCCCUCCUCAUUAAUUUAUCACGGAGGCAAAACUGAAAAACCAAGACAUGGGCGAUGAAUGAAUUAGUAGCCUAUGAGGAGCUGGUAAAUCAGCCUUUCCCACUAAUCUAGGGGGUCCAAUCACUUUACAUGAAA